AGUUGGUAGAGCAGGGGAUUGAAAAUCCCCGUGUCGGCGGUUCGAUUCCGUCCCUGGGCACCA
RNAcentral lists this transfer RNA (63 nucleotides) under Pseudomonas aeruginosa. RNAcentral describes it as "tRNA-Ser". It matches the Rfam family "tRNA", at positions 14 to 71 of the family's 71-position model. Rfam says of the family: Transfer RNA (tRNA) molecules are approximately 80 nucleotides in length. Their secondary structure includes four short double-helical elements and three loops (D, anti-codon, and T loops). Lineage: Bacteria; Pseudomonadati; Pseudomonadota; Gammaproteobacteria; Pseudomonadales; Pseudomonadaceae. The record is from RNAcentral.